AUGGCGGGAUUGGAGCCGCUGGUGGUGGUCUGGAAAGGAUCAGGGGUUCGAGUGGUGGUGCUCCUGAGCUUCGCAGUCCAGGUCAUACUCCUCGCCUUGGCAGAUGUUCGGCGAUACUUUAGCCUCCCCGUGCUGAAAGCCAUCAUUUGGUCAGCAUACAUGCUGGCCGAUACGGCGGCGGUAUAUGCCCUGGGCCACAUGUCUUUGGUGAGUAAGUCGCCCGACCACCAUCUUAUGGCGCUCUGGGCGCCAUUGCUUCUGGUGCACCUUGGCGGGCAAGACAACAUCACCGCCUACGCAAUUGAGGACAACCAGCUAUGGCUGCGUCACCUUCAAAACUUUGGGGUACAGGUCAUAGCAGCCGCCUACGUGUUGCAUGUGUCAACCGUCCUUGGUAGCCAGACCUGGCUCCGUUCAGCCUGCAUCGUCAUAUUUGUGGUUGGGGUUCUCAAGUACGGGGAAAGGGUAGUUGCACUCCUGUGUGCAUGCAGCUAUGCUAGUAGUAGCCUAUCCGCCACCAGUUAUAAGGAUUUUCUCUCUAGGCACAAGAGGCCUGAUGUUAACAACUCUGCCACGAGCCCCGCGCACGUGCACGAGAGGGUGGAUGUUUUGGACGCAUCACCGACGCACCUGGUAGAACUGCAGUUGAUAGCUUACACACUGUUGGAUGUUCCCAAGAAAAUGUUUGAGGGGCCGACACGCUAUGUGGAAAUCUAUGGUGCUCAGCGCUUAAGAGGAGAAGAUAUGUUCAGGGUGGUCGUGAUACAACUCUCCAUGAUGUACGACCUCUUGUACACCAAGGCUGCGGUGGUGCAUGGAUGGUACAGUGCGUGCAUCCGCGUCCUCUCUCUGCCGGCCACUGUCGCGGCACUAGUGUUGUUUCAUUUGCAUUUGCAUGCAUCAGGCCACAAGCGGAUUUCGAUGUUGGGAUCCAUGGGGCAACAUGACCUGUUUCUCCUGUGCUCUCGCGCUAGGAAGAACCUAUCCAGCAAAAUCGCAGCAUGGAUUGGAUGGGACGACUGCUGGGACUCCGGGGUCUACUCCUGGUCCAUCCGCCUCACGGAAGAACUCAUUCAGGCAGUGGUGCAAGUUGUCUCCCGGUCAGAAAACAACGAGGAAUUUGACGUGAAGAACUCACGGGGCCGGGCUUCCCUUAUUCGAUGCAAUCAGGGGAGCAAUGAGAAGCUGUUACGGACUGUGGAGUUGGAUCUGGAUGAGAGCAUUCUCGUGUGGCACAUCGCCACUCAUCUCUGCCUCACUUGGCUCCAGUUAAGGGACGGACGUAGUCAUAGGCGUCGUAGAGUAGACCGCUCCAAGGUUACAGAUCUUGAUGUAGUAACGGCGCUGUCCAACUACAUGUUCUUUCUGCUCGCCACACGCCCUUAUAUGCUCCCUUACCCUGUUAGCCGCCAGAGGUAUGUGCAGCUGUGCCAUGAUGUCAUUACCCCAUCCGAGGAUCAGCUAGGGUCCAUAGAAGGCCUGGUGCGUGCAUGGAAUGGUACUCCGCCCCUGGCUCUGGCUGUAUCCGAUAUGAAUAAAGCACUAGAGAAAGGAUGCGAGCUUGCCCAACAGCUGCUCACCAUGAGGACACCUGAUAUGACAACACUUCAUAUGAUCCUCGAUGUGUGGGUGGAGAUGUUGUGCUACGCGGCUUACUGGUGCAACGAGAAUUUCCAUGCCAAGCACCUAAAUGACGGUGGUGAGCUCAUGACCAUCGUUGCCCUCUUCAUACUCUACUACUCAAAGGGUCUUAUUAUUAACACAAGCGCUGCGACCGACACUCAUACAACAUCCGAGAAUGUUUAA
This 1806-nucleotide ribosomal RNA is filed under the name Triticum aestivum (bread wheat). Its description in RNAcentral is "partial small subunit ribosomal RNA". Lineage: Eukaryota; Viridiplantae; Streptophyta; Magnoliopsida; Poales; Poaceae. The record is from RNAcentral.